GCGCCGAUAGUCUAGCCUGGUAGGACAGGGGCUUCCCAAGCCUCUAACCCGGGUUCAAAAGCUGAUGCCUUUCUUUCCGAAAGAAAGGCCUAAGCCUCACCCCAAAGAUUUGAAAAUCCCGGUCGGCGCA
RNAcentral lists this transfer RNA (130 nucleotides) under Candidatus Aenigmatarchaeota archaeon. RNAcentral describes it as "tRNA-Gly". The record is from RNAcentral. Lineage: Archaea; Nanobdellati; Candidatus Aenigmatarchaeota.